CAUCGUGAGGUGGAAUCUGAAGGAAGGCCGAGGCAAACCUCUGUACCGAGGAACACGAACCAAAUCAGGCUUGCGAUGAUGAUAAGUGUGCAAAACAACACGAAGUCAGAUAGAGUUGCGGAUGAGCAUCGUAAGUAAAUUUGGCGGGUC
RNAcentral lists this non-coding RNA (150 nucleotides) under uncultured Merdibacter sp. Lineage: Bacteria; Bacillati; Bacillota; Erysipelotrichia; Erysipelotrichales; Erysipelotrichaceae. The record is from RNAcentral.